RNAcentral lists this long non-coding RNA (593 nucleotides) under Homo sapiens (human). Its description in RNAcentral is "HSALNT0242315". The record is from RNAcentral. Lineage: Eukaryota; Metazoa; Chordata; Mammalia; Primates; Hominidae.
CCACUCUUCCAGUCAGAGUGGCACAUCUUGAGGUCACGGUCACGAACCACAUUGGCAUCAUCAGCCCGGUAGUAGCGGCCACCAUCGUGAGCCUUCUCUUGAGGUGGCUGGGGCAGGAAGCUGAAGUCGAAACCAGCGCUGGGAGGACCAGGGGGACCAGGAGGACCAGCAUCACCAGUGCGACCGCGAGGACCAGGGGGCCCAAUGGGGCCAGGGAGACCGUUGAGUCCAUCUUUGCCAGGAGCACCAGCAGAGCCAGGGGGACCCUGGAGUGGGGGAAAUGGUUUGAGAAAGGCUGCCAGAAGCCCGAACAACCCCAGCUCUGGAGGAGAGGCCCACCACCCUCCCUGCUGGCUCUGGCCCCACGGCUCAUAGAGCCAGCCUCAGCCUCUUUCCAUAGGACAUGCCAUAGCUCCUCCCAGCCGCUGAGCCAGGGGAGGACGGAUUGGGGAGCAGAGAGGCCAAAGCUAGAUCAGAUUGUUUGUUCAGGAUUCUUCCUCUCUUUGCCCACUCCCUGUCCCUGAACCCUUCUCCAGAGAGGCAAAGGGUGCCUGGGUCCCUGGCAAGGGUCCCCGAGGUGAGCCUGGGCUUGG